UAUAUUCUGGUGCGACUCAAGCGUAGUG
RNAcentral lists this small RNA (28 nucleotides) under Bombyx mori (domestic silkworm). RNAcentral describes it as "ovarian small RNA-1934". The record is from RNAcentral. Lineage: Eukaryota; Metazoa; Arthropoda; Insecta; Lepidoptera; Bombycidae.